UACGUAGGGGGCAAGCGUUGUCCGGAACCAUUGGGCGUAAAGCGCGCGUAGGCGGCCCGGUAAGUCCGUUGUGAAAGUCAAAGGCUCAACCUUUGAACGCCGAUGGAUACUGCCGGGCUAGAGUCCGGAAGAGGCGAGUGGAAUUCCUGGUGUAGCGGUGGAAUGCGCAGAUAUCAGGAGGAACACCAAUAGCGAAGGCAGCUCGCUGGGACGGUACUGACGCUGAGGCGCGAAAGCGUGGGGAGCGAACAGG
Molecule: ribosomal RNA, 253 nt
Filed under: uncultured bacterium
Lineage: Bacteria
Description: partial 16S ribosomal RNA
Rfam family: Bacterial small subunit ribosomal RNA
Source: RNAcentral